GACGAACGCUGGCGGCGUGCUUAACACAUGCAAGUCGAGCGGUAAGGCCCUUUCGGGGGCACACGAGCGGCGAACGGGUGAGUAACACGUGGGUGACCUGCCCUUAGCUCUGGGAUAAGCCUGGGAAACUGGGUCUAAUACCGGAUAUGACUCCAUGACGCAUGUUGUGGGGUGGAAAGCCUUGUGCGGCUAGGGGAUGGGCCCGCGGCCUAUCAGCUUGUUGGUGGGGUGAUGGCCACCAAGGCGACGACGGGUAGCCGGCCUGAGAGGGCGACCGGCCACACUGGGGACUGAGACACGGCCCAGACUCCUACGGGAGGCAGCAGUGGGGAAUCUUGCGCAAUGGGCGAAAGCCUGACGCAGCGACGCCGCGUGAGGGAUGACGGCCUCGG
This 392-nucleotide ribosomal RNA is filed under the name uncultured bacterium. RNAcentral's name for it is "bacterial SSU rRNA". It matches the Rfam family "Bacterial small subunit ribosomal RNA", at positions 28 to 420 of the family's 1533-position model. The record is from RNAcentral.